GGGGGAUAUUGCACAAUGGGCGCACGCCUGAUGCAGCGACGCCGCGUGAGGGAAGACGGUCUUCGGAUUGUAAACUUCUUUUAUUCGGGACGAAACAAAUGACGGUACCGAAUGAAUAAGCCACGGCUAACUACGUGCCAGCAGCCGCGGUAAUACGUAGGUGGCGAGCGUUAUCCGGAUUUACUGGGUGUAAAGGGCGUGUAGGCGGGACUGCAAGUCAGAUGUGAAAAUUAUGGGCUCAACCCAUAACCUGCAUUUGAAACUGUAGUUCUUGAGUGAUGGAGAGGCAGGCGGAAUUCCGUGUGUAGCGGUGAAAUGCGUAGAUAUACGGAGGAACACCAGUGGCGAAGGCGGCCUGCUGGACAUUAACUGAUGCUGAGGCGCGAAAGCGUGGGGAGCAAACA
Molecule: ribosomal RNA, 404 nt
Filed under: uncultured Clostridium sp.
Lineage: Bacteria; Bacillati; Bacillota; Clostridia; Eubacteriales; Clostridiaceae
Description: bacterial SSU rRNA
Rfam family: Bacterial small subunit ribosomal RNA
Source: RNAcentral